UUAAGCGACUAAGCGUACACGGUGGAUGCCCUGGCAGUCAGAGGCGAUGAAGGACGUGCUAAUCUGCGAUAAGCGUCGGUGAGGUGAUAUGAACCGUUAUAACCGGCGAUUUCCGAAUGGGGAAACCCAGUGUGAUUCGUCACUAUCAUUAACUGAAUCCAUAGGUUAAUGAGGCGAACCGGGGGAACUGAAACAUCUAAGUACCCCGAGGAAAAGAAAUCAACCGAGAUUCCCCCAGUAGCGGCGAGCGAACGGGGAGGAGCCCAGAGCCUGAAUCAGUGUGUGUGUUAGUGGAAGCGUCUGGAAAGGCGUGCGAUACAGGGUGACAGCCCCGUACACAAAAAUGCACAUAUUGUGAGCUCGAUGAGUAGGGCGGGACACGUGGUAUCCUGUCUGAAUAUGGGGGGACCAUCCUCCAAGGCUAAAUACUCCUGACUGACCGAUAGUGAACCAGUACCGUGAGGGAAAGGCGAAAAGAACCCCGGCGAGGGGAGUGAAAAAGAACCUGAAACCGUGUACGUACAAGCAGUGGGAGCCUCUUAAUGGGGUGACUGCGUACCUUUUGUAUAAUGGGUCAGCGACUUAUAUUCUGUAGCAAGGUUAACCGAAUAGGGGAGCCGAAGGGAAACCGAGUCUUAACUGGGCGUUAAGUUGCAGGGUAUAGACCCGAAACCCGGUGAUCUAGCCAUGGGCAGGUUGAAGGUUGGGUAACACUAACUGGAGGACCGAACCGACUAAUGUUGAAAAAUUAGCGGAUGACUUGUGGCUGGGGGUGAAAGGCCAAUCAAACCGGGAGAUAGCUGGUUCUCCCCGAAAGCUAUUUAGGUAGCGCCUCGUGAAUUCAUCUCCGGGGGUAGAGCACUGUUUCGGCAAGGGGGUCAUCCCGACUUACCAACCCGAUGCAAACUGCGAAUACCGGAGAAUGUUAUCACGGGAGACACACGGCGGGUGCUAACGUCCGUCGUGAAGAGGGAAACAACCCAGACCGCCAGCUAAGGUCCCAAAGUCAUGGUUAAGUGGGAAACGAUGUGGGAAGGCCCAGACAGCCAGGAUGUUGGCUUAGAAGCAGCCAUCAUUUAAAGAAAGCGUAAUAGCUCACUGGUCGAGUCGGCCUGCGCGGAAGAUGUAACGGGGCUAAACCAUGCACCGAAGCUGCGGCAGCGACACUAUGUGUUGUUGGGUAGGGGAGCGUUCUGUAAGCCUGUGAAGGUGGCCUGUGAGGGUUGCUGGAGGUAUCAGAAGUGCGAAUGCUGACAUAAGUAACGAUAAAGCGGGUGAAAAGCCCGCUCGCCGGAAGACCAAGGGUUCCUGUCCAACGUUAAUCGGGGCAGGGUGAGUCGACCCCUAAGGCGAGGCCGAAAGGCGUAGUCGAUGGGAAACAGGUUAAUAUUCCUGUACUUGGUGUUACUGCGAAGGGGGGACGGAGAAGGCUAUGUUGGCCGGGCGACGGACGUCCCGGUUUAAGCGUGUAGGCUGGUUUUCCAGGCAAAUCCGGAAAACCAAGGCUGAGGCGUGAUGACGAGGCACUACGGUGCUGAAGUGACAAAUGCCCUGCUUCCAGGAAAAGCCUCUAAGCAUCAGGUAACAUCAAAUCGUACCCCAAACCGACACAGGUGGUCAGGUAGAGAAUACCAAGGCGCUUGAGAGAACUCGGGUGAAGGAACUAGGCAAAAUGGUGCCGUAACUUCGGGAGAAGGCACGCUGAUAUGUAGGUGAAGCGACUUGCUCGUGGAGCUGAAAUCAGUCGAAGAUACCAGCUGGCUGCAACUGUUUAUUAAAAACACAGCACUGUGCAAACACGAAAGUGGACGUAUACGGUGUGACGCCUGCCCGGUGCCGGAAGGUUAAUUGAUGGGGUUAGCGGCAACGCGAAGCUCUUGAUCGAAGCCCCAGUAAACGGCGGCCGUAACUAUAACGGUCCUAAGGUAGCGAAAUUCCUUGUCGGGUAAGUUCCGACCUGCACGAAUGGCGUAAUGAUGGCCAGGCUGUCUCCACCCGAGACUCAGUGAAAUUGAACUCGCUGUGAAGAUGCAGUGUACCCGCGGCAAGACGGAAAGACCCCGUGAACCUUUACUAUAGCUUGACACUGAACAUUGAGCCUUGAUGUGUAGGAUAGGUGGGAGGCUUUGAAGUGUGGACGCCAGUCUGCAUGGAGCCGACCUUGAAAUACCACCCUUUAAUGUUUGAUGUUCUAACGUUGGCCCGUAAUCCGGGUUGCGGACAGUGUCUGGUGGGUAGUUUGACUGGGGCGGUCUCCUCCUAAAGAGUAACGGAGGAGCACGAAGGUUGGCUAAUCCUGGUCGGACAUCAGGAGGUUAGUGCAAUGGCAUAAGCCAGCUUGACUGCGAGCGUGACGGCGCGAGCAGGUGCGAAAGCAGGUCAUAGUGAUCCGGUGGUUCUGAAUGGAAGGGCCAUCGCUCAACGGAUAAAAGGUACUCCGGGGAUAACAGGCUGAUACCGCCCAAGAGUUCAUAUCGACGGCGGUGUUUGGCACCUCGAUGUCGGCUCAUCACAUCCUGGGGCUGAAGUAGGUCCCAAGGGUAUGGCUGUUCGCCAUUUAAAGUGGUACGCGAGCUGGGUUUAGAACGUCGUGAGACAGUUCGGUCCCUAUCUGCCGUGGGCGCUGGAGAACUGAGGGGGGCUGCUCCUAGUACGAGAGGACCGGAGUGGACGCAUCACUGGUGUUCGGGUUGUCAUGCCAAUGGCACUGCCCGGUAGCUAAAUGCGGAAGAGAUAAGUGCUGAAAGCAUCUAAGCACGAAACUUGCCCCGAGAUGAGUUCUCCCUGACCCUUUAAGGGUCCUGAAGGAACGUUGAAGACGACGACGUUGAUAGGCCGGGUGUGUAAGCGCAGCGAUGCGUUGAGCUAACCGGUACUAAUGAACCGUGAGGCUUAACCUU
Molecule: ribosomal RNA, 2900 nt
Filed under: Escherichia coli DEC1E
Lineage: Bacteria; Pseudomonadati; Pseudomonadota; Gammaproteobacteria; Enterobacterales; Enterobacteriaceae
Description: bacterial LSU rRNA
Rfam family: Bacterial large subunit ribosomal RNA
Source: RNAcentral